RNAcentral lists this transfer RNA (73 nucleotides) under Planctomycetota bacterium. Its description in RNAcentral is "Planctomycetes bacterium tRNA-Phe". It matches the Rfam family "tRNA". Rfam says of the family: Transfer RNA (tRNA) molecules are approximately 80 nucleotides in length. Their secondary structure includes four short double-helical elements and three loops (D, anti-codon, and T loops). Further hydrogen bonds mediate the characteristic L-shaped molecular structure. tRNAs have two regions of fundamental functional importance: the anti-codon, which is responsible for specific mRNA codon recognition, and the 3' end, to which the tRNAs corresponding amino acid is attached (by aminoacyl-tRNA synthetases). tRNAs cope with the degeneracy of the genetic code in two manners: having more than one tRNA (with a specific anti-codon) for a particular amino acid; and 'wobble' base-pairing, i.e. permitting non-standard base-pairing at the 3rd anti-codon position. Lineage: Bacteria; Pseudomonadati; Planctomycetota. The record is from RNAcentral.
GGACAGGUAGCUCAGUUGGUAGAGCAACGGACUGAACAGCCGUGUGUCGGCGGUUCGAUCCCGCCCCUGUCCA